GAUGAAGAACGUAGUGAAAUGCGAUAAGUAGUGUGAAUUGCAGAAUUCAGUGAAUCAUCGAAUCUUUGAACGCACAUUGCGCCCUUUGGUAUUCCUUAGGGCAUGCCUGUUCGAGCGUCAUUUAAACCUUCAAGCUCAGCUUGGUGUUGGGUGACUGUCCGCUUCACCGCGGACUCGCCUCAAAAUUAUUGGCGGCCGGUACAUUGGCUCUCGAGCGCAGCAGAAACGCGUAACUCGAGGUCCUCGUGCUGGCUCCCAGAAGCUAUCUUCACAAUUUUGACCUCGGAUCAGGUAGGGAUACCCGCUGAACUUAAGCAUAUCAAUAAGCGGACGA
RNAcentral lists this unclassified non-coding RNA (334 nucleotides) under soil metagenome. RNAcentral describes it as "partial contains 5.8S ribosomal RNA, internal transcribed spacer 2, and large subunit ribosomal RNA". The stretch from base 1 to 120 matches the Rfam family "5.8S ribosomal RNA", at positions 35 to 154 of the family's 154-position model. The record is from RNAcentral.